CUUCACCCCUCCAAAAUAGAGUUGGUUCGGUCCUUAGCCGUCUUUUCCAAAAAGUUUUCUCAGCUACGGAUAGCUGGGCCGGCCCGACCGCAACGAUCGCGUCAGGGAGGAUGGACGGGAGGAAGAGGGCCAGGUUGAAAAAAAGAAAGGCAUUGGAGGAGUAUGCUGCCAAAUGUGCCAAGUUUACAGAUUUAUUUUCAAGAGGACAAACACAAGUGGCAACUGCUUCGGAGCAGCAGAUAAGACAGUCUCCUGCUGAAAAUGAUGAGCCCGACAUUUGCAAUGAGGCCAUGACGACAGGGACAGGUAGAGAGGAUAACAGUGGACACUAUAUGAAUUAAAGUUAUAUAUUCUAAGAAAGAGCAGUACAGUACUUGAUGAACCAAUAUGCUUUUUUUACUCAGAAGUGGGUGUAGUAAAGGAGUAAGUCACCACUAUAUAAUACUCAUGCAGAAAAAUGACAAUGACCAUGACAAUGACGGCUCCCAUGAGGUCUCACUCCAACAAAUCUGGCCUACUGCCUAAUCUGAGUCUGACACCCCUGCUACGCCCUUCUGCCUUUUUUAAUGUUGUGCAUAUUUUUUGUUAACUUCUCAUCUUAAGUGGAUUAUUAUUGUUGUAUUUAACCGUUACAUUAUUUGUUGGACCAUGGUAUUAAUAAAAGAACUACAGGAUAGUAAGAGCUGAA
Long non-coding RNA from Pseudoliparis swirei, 688 nucleotides. RefSeq lists it as uncharacterized. Lineage: Eukaryota; Metazoa; Chordata; Actinopteri; Perciformes; Liparidae. The transcript has 2 exons. The record is from RefSeq and is a predicted model, not a curated record.